Microcebus murinus (gray mouse lemur) is the source of this 3105-nucleotide non-coding RNA. NCBI's taxonomy places the organism in Eukaryota, Metazoa, Chordata, Mammalia, Primates, Cheirogaleidae. The record is from RefSeq and is a predicted model, not a curated record.
CCCCAUGGCCUUCCAGCUUGUGGGAUAACUCCAGGGGCUGGCCCAAGGGAGUGGGGGAACAGGGUGCAGCUCCAUUUAGGGAGCAGGUCUUGGGAGGCUAAGAGCAAGGGUGGAGCUAGGUAUUAGAGUUGCGAAGAUGGGAAGGCAAUGUGCCUGCCUGCCAGGAAAGGCUGCAGCAGAGGCCCCCAGACAGCAUGGGGACGACAGGGAUGAGUGCUUGAGUCUACAUGGGGACAUCAGGAAGCCCUCACAGAAGAGCUAAGACAUGCAGGAUAGAGGGUACUUGCCAAGGAAACAAAUGAGGAGAGGGCAUUCCAGGCAGAGGGAACAGCAUGUACAAAGGCACGGAUGCCCUGGGCAUCCUGUCGACCAGAAGCGGCUAAGUACUGCUAGAUCCUAAAGCUCAAGGUAGAAGGAGCAGGACACGAAGUGAGUCAGGCCGAGAGGUUUGGAGCAUUACCUGAGGUGCUGCAGGAGUGUAGAGGAAAGGGACAUGGUGAGAUUCGUAAUGUAGAUAGAGCUCUACCCACGACUCUGCAACCAGGAAGAGCAUGCAGGUGUGGGAGCAGCAUGGCAGGGUAGAGGCCAGGGGCUUGGUGGUUGAUGAGACCUGGCCCUUCCUUGGACAAGCUCCUGAAUGUCUCCUGGUCUCUCCUGUGAAAUCAGCAUAACAGAAUCUGCACUUCAAGGUGUUGUGAUUAUGAGAAAGCAAUACAGGUGGGGUGUGGGUAAGUGGUGCCUGGCUUACAAGAGGCCUUCAGUGCAUAGAAGCCAUGAGUAGCAGCAGUACAGUGAAGACCCACUGAGUCACACUGAGAUUCUGCAGACUGAACCAGCUAUACUCAGCAACUCACAUGGGGAAAAGUGCAAGAGGGAAAAUGGUGUAUUAAAGACAGCUACAAAUUCUUUGAUACUUCUCCCAUAGAUAGGCGGGGGUCUGUGUCCCCUCCCCUUGAUUUUAGAAGGUUGACCAGCAGGAUACAGUACAAACGAUGCUCUCCAGGGUCUAAGACCAGGCAUUGAGGAACUAUCCGCUUCCCUCCCUGUGUCUGGGCGCACUCUCUGAAAGCCCCGGGCUGCGGGCUGGAGAGACCACGCUCCAGUCGGCAGCCCCACCUGUGCUCAGCCCUGCAGCUGUCCCCGGACGCACCGGCCAUGCAGGUGAAGUCAUCUCAGAGCCUCCAGGCCAACUCGUCACCAGCUGAAAUCACUGAGUGACCUCAGCCAAGGCCACAGGGAAACAAAAUCCAUCCGCCGGAGCCCUGCCUGGACUCUGACCCGCUGGAUCCCAAGGUAUGAUAAACGAUUGUGUUUUAAGCCAGAGAAUCUUGGAGUGAUUUGUCACAUCGCAGUAGCAAUAGAUGGCAGGGAGGCAGUGAAGGGCCCCUGCAGGGACGGUGGGCCGUGCUGGGGGCUUGCUGAGUGCUUUGGGAGGGCCAGGAGAGAGCUGCCAGCUCCUCACAUGAGGGCCAUUCGAUCUGAGUCUCAGAGGAGGGUAUUCUAGCCAGGACUUUUUUGGCUUCGUGAUAAUAAAAGUCUCUUCAAACUAGCACAGGUGACAAAGAAGCUCUUACUGAGAGGAUGGAGGGAUCUUAUGGAGCCCAAGCUCAGGAGAUGAGCGAUGUGGCCCAGAGAUCUUUGAACUGGGGCAGGACACUGAGAAAGCCAGAGAGCCACAGGAGGACCCCCAGCCCCCUCUGGGGGCUAUUUCCAUUCCCCUCUGGGUGCCUCUUUGCUGUUCCACUCUCUGCGAAUCAGCUCCUUCUGUUUGCUCAUUAGCUUGUAGAUGACUCCAAAACAGCUGCCAUAGGCCCCAAGCCUAGAAUCCAGACAAGUUCUAGUACCCUCUGUCACUCGGGGCCACAAUUUGUAGAAUUAAUUCUGGAUCAGUCUGACUGAUCCGGCCCAAUUCUCCCAUCCAGGCCACCCACGUCGCUAGCCUGCCAAUGGUCUCUAUUGUUUUGGCUCAGGUGACUUCCCUGGUCCAGUCGGCAGCGUCUCUCCCAAGGGCUGUGGGCCAGGCAGGUUACAGGGGAGUGCUCUUGCUUUUGUUUUGUUUUUGUUUUUAAGCCGGUGGAGAGAGAGAGGAGAAGAAAUGAAGAAAGGGCCUGCCUGGCAGGAGAGCGGCAGGUGUGAGGGCCGGAAGUGUGAGAGAUCACGCCCACUGGAGGCACCUCGGGAGGGUGAGGAAAGAACACCCCCCAGGGGCACUGCUCCAGCAGUGACGGGAAUGGCACAGGCACAGCCACUCAGAGCAGGCAGCACCUGGGAACACCCGGGAUGGCAGGAAGGCCUGAUGGUCAGGCCUGCCUGGAUCUGGUAGAAAGUCUCCCGUGUGUGUGCAUUUUUACUGAAGGGUGUGGUCCUCCCUUAUCAGCCCUCUGUGACCUCACUUCCUCCUUUACCAAACGAACAUUUCUGAGACUCCAGGGGAAGCGCUGGGUUUGUGGUGUCUGCCCAGGGUUUGGGGGUCACUUUCAGGCCCCUGUGGAGUGGACAGCACAGUUAUCUCUUCUAGGUUUUAGGGGAGAUUUGAGCUGCUUUUCUCUUUCUCAGCCUUUCUGGGAAUACAGGGAGGAGGAAGCAGUUUGAGUCCCAUUGCAGGCCGUGGAGAGUUCUGGAUGAGCAAGCACUGAAAACGUGGGACGUUGCUGAAAAGGGUUUCUCAGCCAGCAACACUUUCUCCCCUUGCUGGGGCUACACGUCUUUGCAGUGAAAGAGAUUGGAUUCUGAGCUACCAGAGAGAGGACAUGAAUAAGUAAGGACUCUUUUUCUCUCUCUCUUUUUAGUCACAUCUUCACAUAGACCCUCAUGAAAGAGCUCAAAAGAGCCACAGCAAAAGCCAUCACCCACCUGAGCCCUGCAGCUCUGUCUUUAGAAUCCCAGCUCCUUACAAACCUCCUUCCUGUUCAGGAGAAUGUCUGACUCCAAAGCCCGUUAUCGCAACCCUUUUAACAGAUGAGGAAACUGAGCUCAGAGACAAGGAAGUUGUCACUUGUGCAAACUCACAAGCCAUCAGUGGGAAGUGAGACUAAGGCUGGACCUUCACUCCAAUGGCCCCUAGAGAAUGCUUAGCAUCACAUAAUAAAUUCUUUUCAGACUGUU